Molecule: ribosomal RNA, 1530 nt
Filed under: Bacillus safensis
Lineage: Bacteria; Bacillati; Bacillota; Bacilli; Caryophanales; Bacillaceae
Description: bacterial SSU rRNA
Rfam family: Bacterial small subunit ribosomal RNA
Source: RNAcentral
AGAGUUUGAUCCUGGCUCAGGACGAACGCUGGCGGCGUGCCUAAUACAUGCAAGUCGAGCGGACAGAAGGGAGCUUGCUCCCGGAUGUUAGCGGCGGACGGGUGAGUAACACGUGGGUAACCUGCCUGUAAGACUGGGAUAACUCCGGGAAACCGGAGCUAAUACCGGAUAGUUCCUUGAACCGCAUGGUUCAAGGAUGAAAGACGGUUUCGGCUGUCACUUACAGAUGGACCCGCGGCGCAUUAGCUAGUUGGUGGGGUAAUGGCUCACCAAGGCGACGAUGCGUAGCCGACCUGAGAGGGUGAUCGGCCACACUGGGACUGAGACACGGCCCAGACUCCUACGGGAGGCAGCAGUAGGGAAUCUUCCGCAAUGGACGAAAGUCUGACGGAGCAACGCCGCGUGAGUGAUGAAGGUUUUCGGAUCGUAAAGCUCUGUUGUUAGGGAAGAACAAGUGCGAGAGUAACUGCUCGCACCUUGACGGUACCUAACCAGAAAGCCACGGCUAACUACGUGCCAGCAGCCGCGGUAAUACGUAGGUGGCAAGCGUUGUCCGGAAUUAUUGGGCGUAAAGGGCUCGCAGGCGGUUUCUUAAGUCUGAUGUGAAAGCCCCCGGCUCAACCGGGGAGGGUCAUUGGAAGCUGGGAAACUUGAGUGCAGAAGAGGAGAGUGGAAUUCCACGUGUAGCGGUGAAAUGCGUAGAGAUGUGGAGGAACACCAGUGGCGAAGGCGACUCUCUGGUCUGUAACUGACGCUGAGGAGCGAAAGCGUGGGGAGCGAACAGGAUUAGAUACCCUGGUAGUCCACGCCGUAAACGAUGAGUGCUAAGUGUUAGGGGGUUUCCGCCCCUUAGUGCUGCAGCUAACGCAUUAAGCACUCCGCCUGGGGAGUACGGUCGCAAGACUGAAACUCAAAGGAAUUGACGGGGGCCCGCACAAGCGGUGGAGCAUGUGGUUUAAUUCGAAGCAACGCGAAGAACCUUACCAGGUCUUGACAUCCUCUGACAACCCUAGAGAUAGGGCUUUCCCUUCGGGGACAGAGUGACAGGUGGUGCAUGGUUGUCGUCAGCUCGUGUCGUGAGAUGUUGGGUUAAGUCCCGCAACGAGCGCAACCCUUGAUCUUAGUUGCCAGCAUUCAGUUGGGCACUCUAAGGUGACUGCCGGUGACAAACCGGAGGAAGGUGGGGAUGACGUCAAAUCAUCAUGCCCCUUAUGACCUGGGCUACACACGUGCUACAAUGGACAGAACAAAGGGCUGCAAGACCGCAAGGUUUAGCCAAUCCCAUAAAUCUGUUCUCAGUUCGGAUCGCAGUCUGCAACUCGACUGCGUGAAGCUGGAAUCGCUAGUAAUCGCGGAUCAGCAUGCCGCGGUGAAUACGUUCCCGGGCCUUGUACACACCGCCCGUCACACCACGAGAGUUUGCAACACCCGAAGUCGGUGAGGUAACCUUUAUGGAGCCAGCCGCCGAAGGUGGGGCAGAUGAUUGGGGUGAAGUCGUAACAAGGUAGCCGUAUCGGAAGGUGCGGCUGG